This 1127-nucleotide long non-coding RNA is filed under the name Cervus hanglu yarkandensis (Yarkand deer). Its description in RNAcentral is "lncRNA (ENSCHYG00000013547.1)". The record is from RNAcentral. Lineage: Eukaryota; Metazoa; Chordata; Mammalia; Artiodactyla; Cervidae.
GGGCAGGGGCAGAGGCAGAGCACUCACGAACUGUGGCCCCCCCAGGCUGUGAGAGAAGUGGGACCCAGGGGAGGAGCAGAAGUCAUUCUUGACACAAACAAGGGGCCUGGGGCACGCCACCCCACCCCAGUGCCUGGCCAUGCAAGACGCAGAAAUGGAGACUGUGGCCCAUCAGGACCACGGAGGAGAUGCACCGACCUAGUGGGGAGUCCCCUGGGGGCCACCCCCCGACCCCCCGCAGGCGCCUGCAGGGUCUGGAGCCCAGGAGGGUCUGUGUCUGAGCCGGGGCACCAGCUGCCUCCGGAGGGCCAGGGGCACCACACUGAGGGGCUGAAGGUGGGAGGGGCAGGCUGGGGGUCCGGGGGGUGGGGGGGAACCUCCCUCCCGCCCAUUGGUGCCCCAGCACCGAGAACCUUCCAGAAGCACACUCCCGGGGCAUUUUGUAGUCAACCCAUUCCCCGCCCCGUGACCCCACGAGUGGGCCCCCUGUUGCUUCUGAUUUAUGUGUGGUGGGUCAGGGGCAGAGAGACCAGGCCACAGCGGUCUCUCCAGUUCCAGAGGUAGGCAGCGCGUGUGUGGGGGGUGGACACUCCGCUGGGGGCCCGGCCCUGGUCCCCCGCCCGCCCCUCUAAACCAUCUCAGCUGUGUCUCCCCUUCCUCAGCUAUCCAGUCGGGAAACUCCGACCCCCACCUACCUCAGAGGGACAGGCUAAGGGUGAAAGUCGAUAACGGAUAGAAAAACGUGUUUAAAAAAAAAAAAGUAUAAAGCGCUAUUCAAACGCGAGGCAGUGUUGUCAUCACGGAGAUCCACCCCUUAGCACGUCCCUCCUCUUUCACCUGGACACCUCGGCUUCCUGUUUUAGGGUCGCUUUAACCCUUAGGACCCUAUUUCUUGAUCUCGGCAGGGGGCCGAGACCCCCAGGGUGGCUUUCCCUGACCACGAUCUGAGACCCCAGAGCCCCAGAGGCCGAAUGGGCAGGCUAGGUGCCCGAGGGGUGGUGGGGGUGUGUGCUGGCCUCCUCGCUGUCCUGCCAGGACCUUCCCUGCGGGAGGAAGCCCCUCGGUCCACCCCGUGAGAAGAGCUGGGCUGCCCCUUCAGCCGGACAGGUCUAGGGGACCCCUGCCCC